Molecule: ribosomal RNA, 397 nt
Filed under: uncultured bacterium
Lineage: Bacteria
Description: partial 16S ribosomal RNA
Rfam family: Bacterial small subunit ribosomal RNA
Source: RNAcentral
AAUAUUCCGCAAUGGGGGAAACCCUGACGGAGCAAUGCCGCGUGAGGGACGAAUGCCUUCGGGUUGUAAACCUCUGUUCUAUGGGAAGAGAAUGACGGUACCAUAGGAGUAAGCCCCGGCUAACUACGUGCCAGCAGCCGCGGUAAUACGUAGGGGGCGAGCGUUGUCCGGAAUUACUGGGCGUAAAGGGCGUGUAGGCUGCUUAAUAAGUUAGAGGUGAAAUUCCGUGGCUUAACCACGGGACUGCCUCUAAAACUGUUAGGCUUGAGUGCAGGAGAGGGAAGCGGAAUUCCUGGUGUAGCGGUGAAAUGCGUAGAUAUCAGGAGGAACACUAGUGGCGAAGGCGGCUUCCUGGCCUGUAACUGACGCUGAGGCGCGAAAGCGUGGGUAGCGAACA